UCAUGAUUGACUGAGCUGCGAGCAUUGAUAUUGCUUCAUCCAUCUUCCUACAGAGAAAUUGGGAAUGGGGGAUGGGAUUCGUGGUUUAUGUCCCUUGAGGAGCAGUCCCAAAUUGUUUGCAACAAGGUGAAGAAAAUGAAAGAGCUAAAAGAGGGCUUCAACUUUGUUGGUCUCUCCCAGGUGAUUCAUGACGACUUGAGAACUAUAAUUCUGU
Cucurbita pepo subsp. pepo (vegetable marrow) is the source of this 214-nucleotide non-coding RNA. NCBI's taxonomy places the organism in Eukaryota, Viridiplantae, Streptophyta, Magnoliopsida, Cucurbitales, Cucurbitaceae. The record is from RefSeq and is a predicted model, not a curated record.